RNAcentral lists this ribosomal RNA (252 nucleotides) under uncultured bacterium. RNAcentral describes it as "partial 16S ribosomal RNA". It matches the Rfam family "Bacterial small subunit ribosomal RNA", at positions 524 to 776 of the family's 1533-position model. The record is from RNAcentral.
UACGUAGGUGGCAAGCGUUGUCCGGAAUUAUUGGGCGUAAAGCGCGCGCAGGCGGUUAUGUAAGUCUGAUGUUAAAGCUCGGGGCUCAACCUCGGUUCGCAUUGGAAACUGCGUAACUUGAGUGCAGAAGAGGAAAGUGGUAUUCCACGUGUAGCGGUGAAAUGCGUAGAUAUGUGGAGGAACACCAGUGGCGAAGGCGACUUUCUGGUCUGUAACUGACGCUGAGGCGAGAAAGCGUGGGGAGCAAACAGG